UACGAAGGGGGCUAGCGUUGCUCGGAAUUACUGGGCGUAAAGGGCUCGUAGGCGGCCAACUAAGUCAUACGUGAAAUCCCUCGGCUUAACCGGGGAACUGCGUCUGAUACUGGAUGGCUUGAGUUCGGGAGAGGGAUGCGGAAUUCCAGGUGUAGCGGUGAAAUGCGUAGAUAUCUGGAGGAACACCGGUGGCGAAGGCGGCAUCCUGGACCGAUACUGACGCUGAGGAGCGAAAGCCAGGGGAGCAAACGGG
RNAcentral lists this ribosomal RNA (253 nucleotides) under uncultured bacterium. Its description in RNAcentral is "partial 16S ribosomal RNA". It matches the Rfam family "Bacterial small subunit ribosomal RNA", at positions 524 to 776 of the family's 1533-position model. The record is from RNAcentral.